UACGUAGGGUGCAAGCGUUAAUCGGAACUACUGGGCGUAAAGCGUGCGCAGGCGGUUUUGUAAGUCUGUCGUGAAAGCCCUGGGCUCAACCUGGGAAUUGCGAUGGAGACUGCAAGGCUUGAAUCUGGCAGAGGGGGGUAGAAUUCCACGUGUAGCAGUGAAAUGCGUAGAGAUGUGGAGGAACACCGAUGGCGAAGGCAGCCCCCUGGGUCAAGAUUGACGCUCAUGCACGAAAGCGUGGGGAGCAAACAGG
RNAcentral lists this ribosomal RNA (253 nucleotides) under uncultured bacterium. RNAcentral's name for it is "partial 16S ribosomal RNA". It matches the Rfam family "Bacterial small subunit ribosomal RNA", at positions 524 to 776 of the family's 1533-position model. The record is from RNAcentral.